This 292-nucleotide ribosomal RNA is filed under the name uncultured bacterium. RNAcentral's name for it is "partial 16S ribosomal RNA". It matches the Rfam family "Bacterial small subunit ribosomal RNA", at positions 505 to 796 of the family's 1533-position model. The record is from RNAcentral.
GUGCCAGCAGCCGCGGUAAUACAGAGGUCCCAAGCGUUGUUCGGAUUCACUGGGCGUAAAGGGUGCGCAGGUGGUCGGGUAAGUCUGAUGUGAAAUCCCGCAGCUUAACUGCGGAAUGGCAUUGGAUACUAUUCGGCUAGAGGGUUGGAGGGGGGACUGGAAUUCUCGGUGUAGCAGUGAAAUGCGUAGAUAUCGAGAGGAACACCAGUGGCGAAGGCGAGUCCCUGGACAACUCCUGACGCUGAGGCACGAAAGCUAGGGGAGCAAACAGGAUUAGAUACCCCGGUAGUCC